RNAcentral lists this ribosomal RNA (938 nucleotides) under uncultured fungus. RNAcentral describes it as "eukaryotic LSU rRNA". The stretch from base 343 to 938 matches the Rfam family "Eukaryotic large subunit ribosomal RNA", at positions 1 to 528 of the family's 3401-position model. Lineage: Eukaryota; Fungi. The record is from RNAcentral.
AAUUGCGAAAAUUAAUGUGCAUUGCAGUACGUGAAUCAUCGAGUCUUUGAACGCAACUUGCACUCUAGGUUCUCCUAGAGUAUGCCUAUUUGAGUAUCGGUACAACACGCUCAAAUCCCACUCAACGUGCGGGUUUGGAUCCGAUGAGUCGUGUGCCACAUCUCACGUGGCGCUGACUUGAAGUAGUCAUUGAAUCGGGCCUAUGCAUACCACCGCGUGCGCACCCUGGUUCUGACGUGAUAGUCUCAUUCUUGGGAACUCGUCAGCACAGGCGCGCAAUCCACGUGUGUCGGUCAUAGUGUUUCCCAGUCACCCACCCCACAUUCUUGAUAUAAUGAAUCUCGAUCUCAAAUUAGGUAGGACUACCCGCUGAAUUUAAGCAUAUCAAUAAGCGGAGGAAAAGAAACUAACAAGGAUUCCCCUAGUAACUGCGAGUGAAGCGGGAACAGCUCAAAUUUGAAAUCUGGCUUGGCGCCACGCCGAGUCCGAAUUGUAGUUUACAGUCAGUGUAUCGGUGACACCAGCUGGUAUAAUUUGCCUGGAAUGGCAAGUCAUAGAGGGUGAUAAUCCCGUCCAUGAUCAGCCGCGUGCGCGCCACACGUUACACCGACCUAGAGUCGAGUUGUUUGGGAAUGCAGCUCAAAACGGGAGGUAGAUUUCUUCUAAAGCUAAAUAACGGCGAGAGACCGAUAGCGAACAAGUACCGUGAGGGAAAGAUGAAAAGAACUCUGAAGAGAGAGUGAAACAGUACGUGAAAUUGUUAAAAGGGAAACGCUUGAAACCGCUAUGGCGCAUGCUUCGGCACGCCUGCCAACAUCAGUUCGGAUGCACGCGGUACACAAAGCCGUGGGGAAGGUAGGACACGCUUCGGCGCGUCUGUUUAUAGUCCCACGGUCAUGCACUGCGCCGGACUGAGGUCUGCCGCCGCAAGGCGUAGG